Molecule: RNA transcript, 1473 nt
Organism: Brassica napus (rape)
Lineage: Eukaryota; Viridiplantae; Streptophyta; Magnoliopsida; Brassicales; Brassicaceae
Gene name: cTAGE family member 4
Exons: 11
Source: RefSeq, a predicted model, not a curated record
GCCAAAAUAAUUGGGCCUAGAAGUUUGGGCUCCAUAUACAUGGGCCGAAGAUUAUCUGAUUAUUCCGCCUCCCACUGACGCAAACGUUUUCAAAACGGAAAGGAAGUGAGAUAUUUUUCCAGCGACGAAGAAACCAUGGCGGGAAUCGAUACGCAGAAGCAGCUUCUCUCUCUGAUCCGCGACUUCACCUCUGAAAGAUCUCGUGGAGAGCAAAGAGUGGUUGGAUUGAAGAAGCGGAUCGAGUCUCUGCAAUCGGAAGUUGAAGCAGCGAACGAAGAAGUUGAAAAGGCGAAACGAAUCAAAGAAGUGGCGGAAGAGGAGCUCAACGGCUACGAAGUUGAAUCGUCUUUGAACGAUGCUACGAUUCAAUCUCUUGAGGCAAGGAUUGCUCUUCUUCAGGAUGAAGUUUCUACUGUUGGCAAUGAAGUAGAUGCUCUCAAGAACAAGGAAGGAUUACUUAGAGAUCAAUUUAUAAGCCAAAUGGUUGAGCUGAACAAGGAAAUAAGGGUGUUCCAGAGAACUGUAGCCUCCAGUGUGGGAAAUGAUGAUAGUACUAGCAUAACAGCAACAGAUGUUGAAGUUUUUGAGGAUGGUCAUGGAGCUGAUUCACAAGCUAUCAAGGAUAUGCUAUCUGAUGUAAAUUCUCAAUUAGCAAAAGAGGAGGAAGGAUACUUAGCGGAGCAGAACAUAAAAGAACAGCUGCAGAAAGAGCUUGAUGAAUAUGAGAAGAAGAUGUCACUCAUGGAGGCCAUAACAGAGAAAACAAACUCAGUGCAUGCUCUCGCUGAGCAGAGUUCUGAGCUGGAACAGACAUUGGCUUCACUGGGGGAGGAGCUGCAGAAGAGAUGCCGAUGCCAACAUUGCCAGGCAGAAAAUUUGGAAGUCUUGAGCUUACUUCUCCAAGGAGACCAGGAUAUGGUGGUGUCUUAGUUAAAGAGAAUCUUACAUGUGGGUUGCUUGAGGGAAGAUUGAUUUACUCAGGUUCCAAAAUCUUGCAGAGGAUAGAGACCAAAACCAGAAAACUAAGAGCAAAAAGAAGAGAGAAAUGAAAUAACCUUGGAGACGGCUUUCAUGAAGGUUACAUCAUUGAAAGAACCACCUAUGUCAUUCAGUAGUAAGCCGGUGAAGAAAAAUAUAAUAGGAGCGAUGAAGCCAUCACCAAUGGCUCCGAUUAAUCCUAAUCCCAUCAACAUCCAGUCCACACCGUCCGCGUUCAUAAAAAUCAAUCUUAUGCUUCCCCAAAUCUUCAUUUUAACUUUCUCCUUUUCCUUCACCUCUAAACUGUUUGAGAGAAAAGACCUGUACGACACCUUAACCUUAAGGAAACGAUAGCUCACUCACAGCAUUUUUUAGGCGCCUUUUCUUGUGUAGUGUUGUGGUUCUCCCGUCCCUGGUCGUUUUAUAUUAGCAUGUGAGACACAGAAAGAUUACUACACGAAAGUUUGAUUCUUAUAAAAUGUGUUUAUUAUAAUU